CGACUCCUACGGGGAGGCAGCAGUGGGGAAUAUUGCACAAUGGGGGAAACCCUGAUGCAGCCAUGCCGCGUGUGUGAAGAAGGCCUUCGGGUUGUAAAGCACUUUCAGUAGGGAGGAAGGUAGUGUAGUUAAUACCUGCAUUAUUUGACGUUACCUACAGAAGAAGCACCGGCUAACUCCGUGCCAGCAGCCGCGGUAAUACGGAGGGUGCGAGCGUUAAUCGGAAUUACUGGGCGUAAAGCGCAUGCAGGCGGCCUGUUAAGUCAGAUGUGAAAGCCCGGGGCUUAACCUCGGAAUUGCAUUUGAAACUGGCAGGCUAGAGUCUUGUAGAGGGGGGUAGGAAUUUCAGGUGUAGCGGUGAAAUGCGUAGAGAUCUGAAGGAAUACCAGUGGCGAAGGCGGCCCCCUGGACAAAGACUGACGCUCAGAUGCGAAAGCGUGGGGAGCAAACAGGAUUAGAUACCCUGGUAG
This 470-nucleotide ribosomal RNA is filed under the name uncultured bacterium. RNAcentral's name for it is "bacterial SSU rRNA". It matches the Rfam family "Bacterial small subunit ribosomal RNA", at positions 333 to 793 of the family's 1533-position model. The record is from RNAcentral.